GGAAUCUUCGGCAAUGGACGAAAGUCUGACCGAGCAACGCCGCGUGAGUGAAGAAGGUUUUCGGAUCGUAAAACUCUGUUGUUAGAGAAGAACAAGGGUGAGAGUAACUGUUCACCCCUUGACGGUAUCUAACCAGAAAGCCACGGCUAACUACGUACACG
Molecule: ribosomal RNA, 161 nt
Filed under: uncultured bacterium
Lineage: Bacteria
Description: partial 16S rRNA
Rfam family: Bacterial small subunit ribosomal RNA
Source: RNAcentral